Molecule: ribosomal RNA, 229 nt
Filed under: uncultured bacterium
Lineage: Bacteria
Description: partial 16S ribosomal RNA
Rfam family: Bacterial small subunit ribosomal RNA
Source: RNAcentral
GAGUGGCGGACGGGUGAGUAACGCGUAGGAAUUUACCCAGCAGUACGGAAUAACCAUCGGAAACGGUGGCUAAUACCGAAUACGCCCUCCGGGGGAAAGAUUUAUCGCUGUUGGAUGAGCCUGCGUCGGAUUAGCUUGUUGGUGAGGUAAAAGCUCACCAAGGCGACAAUCCGUAGCUGGUCUGAGAGGAUGACCAGCCACACUGGAACUGAGACACGGUCCAGACUCC